This 764-nucleotide ribosomal RNA is filed under the name uncultured Streptococcus sp. Its description in RNAcentral is "bacterial SSU rRNA". It matches the Rfam family "Bacterial small subunit ribosomal RNA", at positions 28 to 776 of the family's 1533-position model. Lineage: Bacteria; Bacillati; Bacillota; Bacilli; Lactobacillales; Streptococcaceae. The record is from RNAcentral.
GACGAACGCUGGCGGCGUGCCUAAUACAUGCAAGUAGAACGCUGAGGUUUGGUGUUUACACUAGACUGAUGAGUUGCGAACGGGUGAGUAACGCGUAGGUAACCUGCCUCAUAGCGGGGGAUAACUAUUGGAAACGAUAGCUAAUACCGCAUAAGAGUAAUUAACACAUGUUAGUUAUUUAAAAGGAGCAAUUGCUUCACUGUGAGAUGGACCUGCGUUGUAUUAGCUAGUUGGUGAGGUAAAGGCUCACCAAGGCGACGAUACAUAGCCGACCUGAGAGGGUGAUCGGCCACACUGGGACUGAGACACGGCCCAGACUCCUACGGGAGGCAGCAGUAGGGAAUCUUCGGCAAUGGACGGAAGUCUGACCGAGCAACGCCGCGUGAGUGAAGAAGGUUUUCGGAUCGUAAAGCUCUGUUGUUAGAGAAGAACGUUGGUAGGAGUGGAAAAUCUACCAAGUGACGGUAACUAACCAGAAAGGGACGGCUAACUACGUGCCAGCAGCCGCGGUAAUACGUAGGUCCCGAGCGUUGUCCGGAUUUAUUGGGCGUAAAGCGAGCGCAGGCGGUUCUUUAAGUCUGAAGUUAAAGGCAGUGGCUUAACCAUUGUACGCUUUGGAAACUGGAGGACUUGAGUGCAGAAGGGGAGAGUGGAAUUCCAUGUGUAGCGGUGAAAUGCGUAGAUAUAUGGAGGAACACCGGUGGCGAAAGCGGCUCUCUGGUCUGUAACUGACGCUGAGGCUCGAAGCGUGGGGAGCAAACAGG